This 471-nucleotide ribosomal RNA is filed under the name uncultured bacterium. RNAcentral's name for it is "bacterial SSU rRNA". It matches the Rfam family "Bacterial small subunit ribosomal RNA", at positions 62 to 561 of the family's 1533-position model. The record is from RNAcentral.
UUGAGCGAUUUACUUCGGUAAGAGCGGCGGACGGGUGAGUAACGCGUGGGUAACCUACCCUGUACACACGGAUAACAUACCGAAAGGUAUGCUAAUACGGGAUAAUAUAUUUGAGAGGCAUCUCUUAAAUAUCAAAGGUGAGCCAGUACAGGAUGGACCCGCGUCUGAUUAGCUAGUUGGUAAGGUAACGGCUUACCAAGGCGACGAUCAGUAGCCGACCUGAGAGGGUGAUCGGCCACAUUGGAACUGAGACACGGUCCAAACUCCUACGGGAGGCAGCAGUGGGGAAUAUUGCACAAUGGGCGAAAGCCUGAUGCAGCAACGCCGCGUGAGUGAUGAAGGCCUUCGGGUCGUAAAACUCUGUCCUCAAGGAAGAUAAUGACGGUACUUGAGGAGGAAGCCCCGGCUAACUACGUGCCAGCAGCCGCGGUAAUACGUAGGGGGCUAGCGUUAUCCGGAUUUACUGGGCGU